RNAcentral lists this ribosomal RNA (993 nucleotides) under Cossonus linearis. Its description in RNAcentral is "SSU rRNA". It matches the Rfam family "Eukaryotic small subunit ribosomal RNA", at positions 443 to 1435 of the family's 1831-position model. Lineage: Eukaryota; Metazoa; Arthropoda; Insecta; Coleoptera; Curculionidae. The record is from RNAcentral.
UUACCCACUCCCGGCACGGGGAGGUAGUGACGAAAAAUAACGAUACGGGACUCAUCCGAGGCCCCGUAAUCGGAAUGAGUACACUCUAAACCCUUUAACGAGGAUNNNUUGGAGGGCAAGUCUGGUGCCAGCAGCCGCGGUAAUUCCAGCUCCAAUAGCGUAUAUUAAAGUUGUUGCGGUUAAAAAGCUCGUAGUCGAAUUUGUGUCUCGCGCCGCCGGUUCAUCGUCCGCGGUGUCAACUGGCGAGUCGCGAGACNUCCUGCCGGUGGGCUUAGCUCGCAAGGGCGGCCCAACUCAAUCCUGCCGCGGUGCUCUUCAUUGAGUGUCGAGGUGGGCCGGCACGUUUACUUUGAACAAAUUAGAGUGCUUAAAGCAGGCUAAAACUUCGCCUGAAUACUGUGUGCAUGGAAUAAUGGAAUAGGACCUCGGUUCUAUUUUGUUGGUUUUCGGAACCCCGAGGUAAUGAUUAAUAGGAACGGAUGGGGGCAUUCGUAUUGCGACGUUAGAGGUGAAAUUCUUGGAUCGUCGCAAGACGGACAGAAGCGAAAGCAUUUGCCAAAAACGCUUUCAUUGAUCAAGAACGAAAGUUAGAGGUUCGAAGGCGAUCAGAUACNGCCCUAGUUCUAACCAUAAACGAUGCCAGCNAGCGAUCCGUCGACGUUCCUCCGAUGACUCGACGGGCAGCUUCCGGGAAACCAAAGCUUUUGGGUUCCGGGGGAAGUAUGGUUGCAAAGCUGAAACUUAAAGGAAUUGACGGAAGGGCACCACCAGGAGUGGAGCCUGCGGCUUAAUUUGACUCAACACGGGAAACCUCACCAGGCCCGGACACCGGAAGGAUUUACAGAUUGAGAGCGCUUUCUUGAUUCGGUGGGUGGUGGUGCAUGGCCGUUCUUAGUUGGUGGAGCGAUUUGUCUGGUUAAUUCCGAUAACGAACGAGACUCUAGCCUGCUAACUAGGCGUAUUUUGACAUCCUAAAGGUYCGCCGGCUUGGGG